CCAGUGUUGGAGUCCUGACACCUCAGUAUAGCUGUGCACCUCUGGGCAUGUAGUUUCUCUGCUCUGAACCCCAGGACAAGCUGGGGGCCUCCAUGGGCGCCUGAGGGCCAGGCGCCAGGGCCGUGGGCACGAGUAUGGUGAGACACCAGCCCCUGCAGUACUACGAGCCACAGCUGUGCCUCUCCUGCCUCACGGGCAUCUACGGCUGCCGUUGGAAGCGCUACCAGCGCUCCCAUGAUGAUACCACGCCGUGGGAGCGCCUCUGGUUCCUGCUCCUCACCUUCACCUUCGGCCUCACGCUCACCUGGCUUUACUUCUGGUGGGAAGUCCACAAUGACUAUGAUGAAUUCAACUGGUACCUCUACAACCGCAUGGGCUACUGGAGCGACUGGCCCGUGCCCAUCCUUGUGACCACAGCUGCUGCCUUCGCUUACAUUGCUGGCCUCCUGGUCCUGGCACUAUGUCACAUUGCCGUGGGGCAGCAGAUGAACCUGCACUGGCUGCACAAGGUAAGGGCCGCCUCGGCCGGGGCUGGGAGAGGGCACGGGAAGCUGGAGGCAGCAGCAGCAGAGAAAGGGCCUGGCCACUGUGUCCCUCCCCUGGAUCGCCAUUAGAAUUGUUCUCAUAGCUAAGGCUGAGCACUCACUAUGCACCAAGCACUUUUCUCACAACCUCGCCUGUCUUCAUUCACUUAACCCUUACAGCAACCUUGUGAUGUAGGUAC
Molecule: small RNA, 724 nt
Filed under: Pongo abelii (Sumatran orangutan)
Lineage: Eukaryota; Metazoa; Chordata; Mammalia; Primates; Hominidae
Description: retained intron
Source: RNAcentral